GAUGAACGCUGGCGGCGUGCCUAAUACAUGCAAGUCGAGCGAACAGACGAGGAGCUUGCUCCUCUGACGUUAGCGGCGGACGGGUGAGUAACACGUGGAUAACCUACCUAUAAGACUGGGAUAACUUCGGGAAACCGGAGCUAAUACCGGAUAAUAUAUUGAACCGCAUGGUUCUAUAGUGAAAGACGGUUUUGCUGUCACAUAUAGAUGGCUUGGCGCGGCAUUGGCUAGUUGGUAAGGUAAGGGCUUACAAAGGCAACGAUGCGUAGCCGACCUGAGAGGGGGAUCGGCCACACUGGAACGGAGAAACGGUCCAGACUCCUACGGGAGGCAGCAGUAGGGAAUCUUCCGCAAUGGGCGAAAGCCUGACGGAGAAACGCCGCGUGGUUGAUGAAGGUCUUCGGAUCGUAAAACUCUGUUAUUAGGGAGGAACAAAUGGGUAAGUAACUAUGCACGUCUUGACGGUACCUAAUCAGAAAGCCACGGCUAACUACGUG
Molecule: ribosomal RNA, 497 nt
Filed under: uncultured bacterium
Lineage: Bacteria
Description: partial 16S ribosomal RNA
Rfam family: Bacterial small subunit ribosomal RNA
Source: RNAcentral